Long non-coding RNA from Cornus florida, 4155 nucleotides. RefSeq lists it as uncharacterized. The record is from RefSeq and is a predicted model, not a curated record. The transcript is spliced from 6 exons. NCBI's taxonomy places the organism in Eukaryota, Viridiplantae, Streptophyta, Magnoliopsida, Cornales, Cornaceae.
UUACCUCUCUUUCUACUAUGGUUAAUGAAAAACCAUCUUAGUAAUUUAUUCUACCACGGUGGUUGCACCGUGGUCGAAAGUGAAAUUCUGUAAGUGGAUCUUAUUCCUGCUAGUUUCUUAAAAAAAAAAAAAUUUAGCAUUUGAAUUUUAGGGCAAAUCAUUUCAGCCACGGCCUCCUCAAUCGCCUCUAUCUCUAUUCUCGUUCUCAACUCUGAACUUGCCCUCUCUUUGUCCUUGCAACUGCAAACUACAAAAUCUACAAGAAUCAAACCCAUAUAAUUUAGUUUAUCUAUCUGUCAGCAAGAAUCAAAAUUUCAAAACCUAUUACCUAUAUCAAAACCCAUAUCAGCAUAUCAUUUCAGAUUGUUCAACAAAUCAACACCCAUAUCCUUCAGUUUCCAUCGUUCGCUGUUCCAGUUCGAGUUCGCCGUUUGCAAGCUUUAGCCGCUGGCCCGGUGUCUCUCAACUCUCAAGCCCCUCUCUUUGCAAUCAAUAUAUAUAUAUAUAUAUAUAUAUAUAUAUAUAUACUGACUGCGUACUCAAACCCUAAUAUCUCUCUUGACUACAAACAUUCCACAUAUCAGGUCCGUAUUCUGUUCCGCCUCAGCUCAACCUUUGCCCAUAAUCUUUCAUCUUUACACCCUAGCCAUAGCAUACAAUUUUAGCCGCCAUCGAAUCAGUAAUUGAUCGGAACAACGAAUUCAACGGUAAAACCAUGAUUUUCAGCGACGUACCUCUCCAUUUAGCGCAUUAGAGGGUUCUAUUCUACCCAUGGGUUCGAAACUGGUCAUUGGUUGAUUCGUUCUUCGAUUUGGGGAUUUUGUAGUUUUGGUUAUGUUACAUUUUGUAGAGGGUUUUUGCCUCUGAUUCGCACUUCUCUUCAUGGUUGCUUUUGUUCGAUCUUGGAGAUUUCGGCCAAAUCUCGUUGUAGGGAAAGCUUCGCCGACCCAAAUUCGAAUAGACAAAUGAGCAAUUACAAGUUAUUUUGGAGCUUUUGGCUAAAUCGCGUUGUAGGGUAAGCUUCGCCGGCCCAAAUUUGAAGAGACAAAGGAGCAAUUAUGAGUUACCGAUGAGUGUCUGGUUGUGAGGGAAAGGAAGAGGACAUUGUUGUUGCUCGUGGUCUCUAGGAAAAAAAGAAAAACAGAGGGGAAAGGGAGGAAGAAAAAAGGGUCUGGACUAUAGGCAUCUCAUAUCAUCAUCUUCAACUUGUCAUCUAAUUGUGUGUCUCUUCUCACCAAGAAACAAAGAUGCCAUUUAUCAAAGGAGAUCCUCUAGCUAUUCGUUGAUGCUAGAUUCAGUUGUUGACUGAGCACAAUGAACAAAAAUUAUGGUAUUAACUUUUAGCAUAGUUCUUACAUAUAUAUAUGCUAUUUUUUCCAACAUGUAAAAUUGUCAUGAGGCAUUUUUCACUCCUCACCUGUUUCCAUAUAAAAUCAUUGAAUCUGAAAAUAAUCUGUCGGUGGUGGUCCUGAUGGAGCACAAUAUCUUACCUUUUUGAAUCCCUUGACUUACUUACAUGUUUAAAGGUCGUUCUAGAUAUGAAUUAUUGCAUUAGCAUGCUAUAUAACACGUCUGCAUCUAGGACUGUCCUUUAGGGGUAAGAAUUUGUAUUUUCAAGACAUUUAUUUAUUCCUUAUUACUUAAUAACAAAAUAUUAGGAGCAUAAGAUUAUGAGUUAAAUGAACAAACUAUAACCAAGAACUGAAGCUUCCCUUCAUCUAGAACAAGUGGCAAAUUAGGAACUUGUCACCAAAUGUAGUUCAAAAACUUAAUUCUAGAACUUGUCACCAAAUGUAGGAACUUCUCACCAAAUGUAGGCUAACUUUCAGUACAUUGACAAUAUUUUCCUGAAAAAAGAUUUUUUUCUCUUGAAAAUAGUCUGAUGAAUCCUAGUCAAAAACUUAAUGGGUGAGUGGUCACUUGGAAUCCAAGUACCAGUUGUCCUUUAAUUUUAGAUUUUAUUAUUCUUCAAUAACGAUUUUGAAUGAAAUUAAUGAUCCUAACUUUUCUUGGAUUUCUUUAAAUGUUAAGUGAUAAGAGAUAUGAGAGAUAGCUAAUAUGGUCCCAAAUUGAAGAUUUUAUAAUAAAUUGCUAGAAUUACCAAUAUGCUUAGUCCAAUGCAUCAAGGCAAGGAUGGUUCAAAAAAUUCAGAGACUUAUACAUAAAAUAAGAGAGAGGAUUAUUCUCAGCCUCCCAACCCUAGCAAAAAUGCAUCUUUUAGCCCUAUCCAUGUGUAAUUAAGCAAAUGGUUUGAAGUCUCUAUUGUGCAAACAUUCUUCCAGCAUAUGAAAAUUAGCUACAGGAAUUUUCAAGGGUACUAUGGUCAUUUCAUAGUUAUAUUAUAUGAUUAUACAUAUGUUCAAAUUCUUGCAUUGCAUUGAACAACUGUGAUUUAGCCUGCAUUAUAAAAUAUACAGUCUCAGCAAUAGAAUUUGGUUGAGAAUGACAAGUGGCUAUUACAAGGGCAUUUUGGUCUUUCUGCAUGAAGUUCAGGUGUGUGACACGUUGUUGUGGUCCUAGUGAGAGAAUGCAUACACUACAUUGCAUUUCUUAAUCACCAAGUCUUGGAUAAGAAGUCUAUUACAACCUUAAUAUAGUGAGCUAUAAUUCUGGUGCACUAGAGGACUAUUUAGCUGAGUUGGUAAGGGCAUUGUGGUUAAUUCAUAUGAAAAAUGUCAGAACAUUCUCUGGCCAAUGAUUAGCUGCAUGUGUUAUGUGUCACUACAAGAAAUCAGGCUAUUAGGGACAGUUUUUUAGUGACAGACUCAAAAACUGUCACUAAAGGUCCUAUUAUUAGGGACGGUAAAUGUUACCAUUAAUAAUACCCAGCCUUUAGGGACGGUAAACUUGAUAUGUCACCAAAUCCCAUGAGACCAUCACCAAAUCCCUAAUAAUUGGCGGUGGAAAUUUUCUGGCAGUAAAAUUUAGGCGCUAUAAAUUUUUGUUAUGUUUUGGUUUGGUGAAAAGAUACACGUGGCGUCGUCAAGACCAUACACACAAGCACAAAAUGAUAUUUUAAUUUAAUUUUUUUAAUAUUUUUACCAAACAUUAAAUGGGUAUAUUAAAUUAUGUCGUUUAAUAUAGGUUUUGUAUAAUUUCAAACACUUCCAUUAUUCUCAUCUAUUUAUGUUCUUCAGAGAGUUUUAAAAUGUUAGGGCUUGGUUCCAUAGAUAACCCCACAUUCAAUUUGUCCUUCAAAGAACCCAUCAUGGUUUGACAUCGAUCUUCAAUGCACUAAUCAGGUCCUUUUUUAAUCUCAUCUUGGUUUGACUUCUUCGAUCUCAUUUAUCUAUUAUUUCAUUUCUUUGUUUGUUUAUUUUUUUAUUUUCAUUUUAUUUAUUUUUAUAUAUUUCGCUGGUUUCUUUAGAUUUAAUAACACAAAUACAUGUUUUUAGUGUUUUAAAAUUGCCAAAAACCCCAACAAUCGAAAUGAGAAAUUACAGAGAGAACUUGCCAUUUGAAUCGGGAGUAUGUCGUCUGAAUUGCUGAGGGAAAUCAAUAGCUUGAUCUCUUCGAUUACCAACUCAUUUCUGGUUGUUGCGCUCUCGCCUAAAGCAAGCAAUCGAAGACAGUACACCGGUCAUCGUUGGAACUCAGAAAAGCAACAAUAAGCCAUAGGAAAGGUUCACAUAUCAGUGGCUCAUGCCGGAAAGGUGGGAGGGCAAACUCCGAAAGUGGCCAACCAGGAUGAGAAGAAGAAGCCUCGUGGACUUUAAUUGUAAAAUCAGUCAAGACCAGUGAUUUUGAGCUUUAAAAGAUGACAUUUCGUGGGAUCGAGUAAUGUUAAAGAUCCAAGUCUAAUUAUACUUCGAAAAUAUUCCAAAAGAAGCCACAAGUUGAUUAGAAUGGAAAGAAGAAGAAAGGGAAAACUCUUUCUCCAAAAAGGAAACUUUCGCUAAAGUUGGUAACUUGAACCUAUUUUGGUAAUCUGGUUGUAUCUCUCUCCUCGAGUGUCAAAACGGCUAAAUUCCCGCAAUGGUUGAAAGGAAAUUCAAAGAGCUACAAUUUGUAUUCACAAGGAUUCCCUAAAAUAGUUGUUUACUUUGUCAAAAUUGGCCUAGAAGUCUGUACAAAUUUUGGAGUCCUUAUUUGACAGAAUUUCUAUAUAUGUCUCCUAUAUGAAAAAGGGAACUUUAGGGUUGAUCUUUUAUUAUU